Long non-coding RNA from Xenia sp. Carnegie-2017, 1054 nucleotides. RefSeq lists it as uncharacterized. The record is from RefSeq and is a predicted model, not a curated record. The transcript is spliced from 2 exons. NCBI's taxonomy places the organism in Eukaryota, Metazoa, Cnidaria, Anthozoa, Malacalcyonacea, Xeniidae.
GUCCUGAGAAUUAAAAGCAAUGAUCUUUAAUUUUGUGAAUUGUCUUGAAAACCUAUGCUCAUAUUUUAUUUUCCUUGUAAACUCAAACAAUACUCAACAUUGCUCAAUUGAUGAUUGUAUAUGCUUUAUCUGUAAUAGUAGUUUGUUCCUACAGAUUCAAUAAAACAUAAAAAAUGAUUAAAUAUGAUAAUUCAAAGUGGAAGUGGUAUAUGGAAAACACAAUUUACAAGUACUUCUUGCAAACUUUACAUAACAUCAGCUGUGGAUUCAAACAUUAAUGCCAAAUACUGGAAAGAAAUAUAAAGGAAAAGGAGGAGGACGAACAUUUUGUUCUGCUGUUAACUGUUCAAACAGCAAGCAUUCACAUCCACAUCUACGUUUUUUAGAUUUCCAAGAGAUCCCAAAAGAUCAAAGGAAUGGGUGAUUCUCAGCAGAAGAGAGGAUCUUAUGAACAAGGAUGCAAACUACCUUUACAAAAAUUGUCGAUUAUGCACUGACCAUUUUGAAGAUAUGAUGUUUGCAAAUGAUUUGAAAAAUCGAUUAAAGACUGAUGCAAAACCCAAUCUAUUUACCAUUCCAAAUGCACCCCUCACUGUUGGCACAAAACGGAGAACAAUUAAAAGAGUGGACCAAUCACAUAUACAAGGUAAACACCAAACCUAGUUUCAAGAUGAAAUUAGACAAAUUUAUUUUACAGCCAAAAAAUCUAAAAUGGAUAAAGAUCAGGAAAAAAGGAAAGGUGGUAUGAGAAGUUCUAUUGUAUGAUUUCAUUGCAUGAUUUCAUUGAUAUAUGGGAAACUAUUUCAGUUCUAAUUCUUGACCAUUAGUAUUGGUGAGAUGUAAUUAUAGCUAAAGUUAUUCAUUUUGCAUUUUAUUUUCCAUCUCAAGCUUUUGGUCACCACUUUGAAUUAGUUAUUACUCUUAAGUUUAUGUUUAGAGCCACCAGAUAAACAUUCACCAUUGCACGAAGUUGAUGAAAGUGGGCCUAGUACAGAAAGCCAAACUUCAGAUUUUUCUUGCCAAACAAGUGCUAUACUAUCCAAUAAUACACCUA